GUUACUAUAGUAUAAUAAGUAUGUUUGUUUUAAGAUCAAUUGGUAAGAGAUAUUGUAA
Molecule: transfer RNA, 58 nt
Filed under: Aspiculuris tetraptera
Lineage: Eukaryota; Metazoa; Nematoda; Chromadorea; Rhabditida; Heteroxynematidae
Description: tRNA-Leu
Source: RNAcentral